GGUGUCUUUCAGUGUUUGUGUCAGUGUCUGUGUGUGUGUGUUGCCCCCUAAUAAUUCGGAGUUAAAAGAGGAAGUUCCGGCUUACCCAGUUGGUCACGUGGCCAAAAGUUUUGGGCCAUGUAUUGCGGGUGGUCUUACCAUUGGCAUUGUGCGUGACACUGUCCAGAAACAACAUCACAACAACACCACAACAACAACUUUGGAAUAUCACUUCGAAGAGCAAAACUCAAUUUGUUGGCCAGCUGCUGCCGAGGCAGAGAGAAAUGAAAAAAAUCGAAAUGUGCUUCCACCAUGAGGAUUUCUAGUUGGAGCUGAGCUGGUGGAGCGGAGAGGGAAGUGAAGCAUAAACUGGCAGCCAGACGGGCCAAAACUGCAGCGGCAACUGGCGAAAUCUGCAAACCAAAUCCAACUUAAGUCACAUCAAAUUAAAAUCAACAAGCGGCGAACAAAAAAUAGAGACGGGAAAAUCCAACUGCAGCUUUUGGCCAAAAAGAAAUUACAAAAAAAAAA
Long non-coding RNA from Drosophila innubila, 510 nucleotides. RefSeq lists it as uncharacterized. The transcript is spliced from 2 exons. The record is from RefSeq and is a predicted model, not a curated record. NCBI's taxonomy places the organism in Eukaryota, Metazoa, Arthropoda, Insecta, Diptera, Drosophilidae.